GACAGAGGGUGCAAGCGUUAUCCGGAAUCACUGGGUUUAAAGGGUGCGUAGGCGGCUAUGUAAGUCAGUUGUGAAAUACCUCGGCUUAACCGAAGGAAGUGCGAUUGAUACUGCGUAGCUUGAAUCAGGUUGAGGUAGGCGGAAUGUGGCAUGUAGCGGUGAAAUGCUUAGAUAUGCCAUAGAACACCGAUUGCGAAGGCAGCUUACUGGGCUUUGAUUGACGCUGAGGCACGAAAGCGUGGGGAGCAAACAGG
Molecule: ribosomal RNA, 254 nt
Filed under: uncultured bacterium
Lineage: Bacteria
Description: partial 16S ribosomal RNA
Rfam family: Bacterial small subunit ribosomal RNA
Source: RNAcentral